RNAcentral lists this ribosomal RNA (407 nucleotides) under uncultured bacterium. RNAcentral's name for it is "partial 16S ribosomal RNA". It matches the Rfam family "Bacterial small subunit ribosomal RNA", at positions 28 to 526 of the family's 1533-position model. The record is from RNAcentral.
GACGAACGCUGGCGGCGUGCCUAAUACAUGCAAGUAGGACGCAGUUGCGAACGGGUGAGUAACGCGUAGGGAACUACCUAUUAGAGGGGGAUAACUAUUGGCAACGAUAGCUAAUACCGCAUACUAGUAGCUGGACCUGUGUUGUAUUAGCUAGUAGGUAGGGUAAGGGCCUAACUAGGCAAUGAUAAAUAGCCGACCGUAGAGUGUGAACGGCCACAUUGGGACUGAGACACGGCCCAGCCGCCUACGGGAGGCAGCAGUAGGGAAUCUUCGGCAAUGGGGGGAAGCCCGACCGAGCAACGCCGCGUGAGUGAAGAAGGUUUUCGGAUCGUAAAGCUCUGUUGUUAAGGAAGCGGUACUUAACCAGAAAGGGACGGCUAACUACGUGCCAGCAGCCGCGGUAAUUC